Long non-coding RNA from Saimiri boliviensis boliviensis (Bolivian squirrel monkey), 420 nucleotides. RefSeq lists it as uncharacterized. The record is from RefSeq and is a predicted model, not a curated record. NCBI's taxonomy places the organism in Eukaryota, Metazoa, Chordata, Mammalia, Primates, Cebidae.
CGCCGAUGGCUGAUGCCGCGAUUACGCCGGCGGGGGCGGCCCGCGCCCCACGACCGUGCCCGACAAGCCGCGCCGCUUAAUUUCUGAAGAGAUUUAUAUUUUUUUGUUGUCAGGAAAUGAACAAAUACUUAUCAAUGUAAAAACUGCUAUCUCCGAUCUCCCCGCCAGGUUUUUCAUGCUGAUAUUAUUUGCACCCCGCGACACAGGAAAUGAAAACCUCCUCCGCCUUUCACGUCGCCACCUCGCCUCCGAAUCCUCUGCGAGCAGCCCGGCCUCCCCCGGCACCGCGCCCCGGCCCCCUCCGGGCUCCCUCCCCGGAUGAAAAAGGAUUCCCUUUCAGCAUGAGGCAUCGUGGGCCCCGGGGCUUGUAUUGAUUCAGAACGAGACCUAAUAAAACACGAGCAGGUGAUUUAAGUUUCA